AUUGAACGCUGGCGGCAGGCCUAACACAUGCAAGUCGAGCGGAUGAAGGGAGCUUGCUCCUGGAUUCAGCGGCGGACGGGUGAGUAAUGCCUAGGAAUCUGCCUGGUAGUGGGGGAUAACGUCCGGAAACGGGCGCUAAUACCGCAUACGUCCUGAGGGAGAAAGUGGGGGAUCUUCGGACCUCACGCUAUCAGAUGAGCCUAGGUCGGAUUAGCUAGUUGGUGGGGUAAAGGCCUACCAAGGCGACGAUCCGUAACUGGUCUGAGAGGAUGAUCAGCCACACUGGAACUGAGACACGGUCCAGACUCCUACGGGAGGCAGCGGUGGGGAAUAUUGGACAAUGGGCGAAAGCCUGAUCCAGCCAUGCCGCGUGUGUGAAGAAGGUCUUCGGAUUGUAAAGCACUUUAAGUUGGGAGGAAGGGCAGUAAGUUAAUACCUUGCUGUUUUGACGUUACCAACAGAAUAAGCACCGGCUAACUUCGUG
RNAcentral lists this ribosomal RNA (484 nucleotides) under uncultured bacterium. RNAcentral describes it as "partial 16S ribosomal RNA". It matches the Rfam family "Bacterial small subunit ribosomal RNA", at positions 30 to 507 of the family's 1533-position model. The record is from RNAcentral.